Molecule: ribosomal RNA, 496 nt
Filed under: uncultured bacterium
Lineage: Bacteria
Description: partial 16S ribosomal RNA
Rfam family: Bacterial small subunit ribosomal RNA
Source: RNAcentral
GAUGAACGCUGGCGGCGUGCCUAAUACAUGCAAGUCGAGCGAACGGACGAGAAGCUUGCUUCUCUGAUGUUAGCGGCGGACGGGUGAGUAACACGUGGAUAACCUACCUAUAAGACUGGGAUAACUUCGGGAAACCGGAGCUAAUACCGGAUGAUAUUUUGAACCGCAUGGUUCAAAAGUGAAAGACGGUCUUGCUGUCACUUAUAGAUGGAUCCGCGCUGCAUUAGCGAGUUGGUAAGGUAACGGCUUACCAAGGCAACGAUGCAUAGCCGAGCUGAGAGGGUGAUCGGCCCCACUGGAACUGAGCCACGGUCCAGACUCCUACGGGAGGCAGAAGUAGGGAAGCUUCCGCAAUGGGCGAAAGCCUGACGGAGCAACGCCGCGUGAGUGAUGAAGGUCUUCGGAUCGUAAAACGCUGUUAUUAGGGAAGAACAUAUGUGUAAGUAACUGUGCACAUCUUGACGGUACCGAAUCAGAAAGCCACGGCUACCUACGU